UACAGAGGUCCCAAGCGUUGUUCGGAUUCACUGGGCGUAAAGGGUGCGUAGGUGGCAGGGUAAGUUUGAUGUGAAAUCUCCGAGCUUAACUCGGAAACUGCAUUGAAUACUAUCCUGCUCGAGGUUUGGAAGGGGGACUGGAAUUCUCGGUGUAGCAGUGAAAUGCGUAGAUAUCGAGAGGAACACCAGUGGCGAAGGCGGCACUCUGGGACGGUACUGACGCUGAGACGCGAAAGCGUGGGGAGCGAACAGG
RNAcentral lists this ribosomal RNA (253 nucleotides) under uncultured bacterium. RNAcentral's name for it is "partial 16S ribosomal RNA". It matches the Rfam family "Bacterial small subunit ribosomal RNA", at positions 524 to 776 of the family's 1533-position model. The record is from RNAcentral.